GUAGUGUUUUCACUAGAAGACAGACAGACGUACUGUUGUCCGGAAAAAGGAGAGACGAAGCACCGUGUUGCUGAGAGUUUUAUCUGCAAGGUCGGCUACUCGUGGUCCUGAUAAUAACUUGUUUGUAAUCCGAAAAAAGGAGAUGUGGAGAGAGAGCGGUUUUCCUGGUCUUCCCAGUGGACGGACUCUGCUGUGUACUAACUAAUUACCCCUGUGACUGCCAUUGCCCCUGUGACUGCUACCCUCACUAACAACUCGUUUGGGAUUCCCCAUCGUAGGGAACAGAUCUGCAAUUGGAGUCAUCAGGAGUCGUCUAUCCGAUAUGUAUACACAUAUUAAAUAAAAAAAAACAUGGCUG
Long non-coding RNA from Seriola aureovittata, 358 nucleotides. RefSeq lists it as uncharacterized. The transcript has 3 exons. Lineage: Eukaryota; Metazoa; Chordata; Actinopteri; Carangiformes; Carangidae. The record is from RefSeq and is a predicted model, not a curated record.